CCUACGGGAGGCAGCAGUAGGGAAUAUUGCUCAAUGGGGGAAACCCUGAAGCAGCAACGCCGCGUGGAGGAUGAAGGUUCUAGGAUUGUAAACUCCUUUUGUUAGAGAAGACGAUGACGGUAUCUAACGAAUAAGCACCGGCUAACUCCGUGCCAGCAGCCGCGGUAAUACGGAGGGUGCAAGCGUUACUCGGAAUCACUGGGCGUAAAGGGUGAGUAGGCGGGGUAAUAAGUAAGAUGUGAAAUCCUGUGGGUUAACUACAGAACUGCAUUUGAAACUGUUACUCUGGAGUGUAGGAGAGGUAGGUGGAAUUCUUGGUGUAGAGGUGAAAUCCGUAGAGAUCAAGAGGAAUACUCAUUGCGAAGGCGGCCUGCUGGAACAUUACUGACGCUGAUGCACGAAAGCGUGGGGAGCAAACAGGAUUAGAUACCCUUGUAGUC
Molecule: ribosomal RNA, 440 nt
Filed under: uncultured bacterium
Lineage: Bacteria
Description: partial 16S ribosomal RNA
Rfam family: Bacterial small subunit ribosomal RNA
Source: RNAcentral